UAUAAAUAGCUAUUGUAAAAACCGUGGAUAAAAUUGAGCAGUGUAAUUUAUUUGUCUAUAGUUUGUACACCACAAUCUAAAAGUAUGAAUUUUUGAUUCGUGGUAUCUAGGCUCUAUAGUUGGAGUUUGAUUUUUAAUGAGACAAAAUAUUUGUUGACUAAUAGCUUUCAUAGUAUUCAUCAUCUCAUUUUUGAACACCUCAUUGAUUUGCCUUAAUUCACUUUUAAAUUCUUCCAAUCUCAUAUCAUAAAAGGUCUUAGUUUGAACUUGAUCAUGUAGAGAUUAUAUAGCUAAAGGUAUUGGAUUACUAAUUGGCAAGAAAAAGUAGAAGAUUGUUAGUAGCUUAAAGCUAGAGGUUGAUGGAAUUUUGUAGGUCGAUGUUGUAAGGGUAUAAAGGAGGAUAUUAGUUCUUUUGCCCUUCGAAGUAUACGAUCAUUUUUCUUAUCAAUAACCUCUACUUUUAA
This 464-nucleotide long non-coding RNA is filed under the name Physcomitrium patens. RNAcentral describes it as "long non-coding RNA (PPAT_LNC006589)". The record is from RNAcentral. Lineage: Eukaryota; Viridiplantae; Streptophyta; Bryopsida; Funariales; Funariaceae.